RNAcentral lists this unclassified non-coding RNA (253 nucleotides) under plant metagenome. RNAcentral's name for it is "partial contains small subunit ribosomal RNA, internal transcribed spacer 1, and 5.8S ribosomal RNA". The stretch from base 1 to 54 matches the Rfam family "Eukaryotic small subunit ribosomal RNA", at positions 1778 to 1831 of the family's 1831-position model. The record is from RNAcentral.
GGAUGUAAAAGUCGUAACAAGGUCUCCGUUGGUGAACCAGCGGAGGGAUCAUUACAGAGUUGCAAAACUCCCAAACCAUUGUGAACGUUACCUAUCCCGUUGCUUCGGCGGGCGGCCCGGGCCCCGCGCCCGGCGCCCCCCGGCCCCCCGUGGGCGCCCGCCGGAGGUAAACCAAACCCUUGAAUUGCAUGGCCUCUCUGAGUCUUCUGUACUGAAUAAGUCAAAACUUUCAACAACGGAUCUCUUGGUUCUG